Oncorhynchus tshawytscha (Chinook salmon) is the source of this 513-nucleotide long non-coding RNA. The record is from Ensembl. Lineage: Eukaryota; Metazoa; Chordata; Actinopteri; Salmoniformes; Salmonidae.
UCACCCAGUUCAAUGUAACAGUGACAGGUUUAGGUUACUGUCAUUCACCCAGUUCAAUGUAACAGUGACAGGUUUAGGUUACUGUCAUUCAUAUUCACCCAGUUCAAUGUAACAGUGACAGGUUUAGGUUACUGUCAUUCAUAUUCACCCAGUUCAAUGUAACAGUGACAGGUUUAGGUUACUGUCAUUCAUAUUCACCCAGUUCAAUGUAACAGUGACAGGUUUAGGUUACUGUCAUUCAUAUUCACCCAGUUCAAUGUAACAGUGACAGGUUUAGGUUACUGUCAUUCACAUUCACCCAGUUCAAUGUAACAGUGACAGGUUUAGGUUACUACAUGAUACUAGAAUGUUCCCUGUACCCAUCAUGAGGUUGCUACAGCCUAGCCUAUGAAUUCAAGUUUACAACGUAGGCACACAGGUCGAGAGAUACAUUUGAGGUGACAGACCGUGACAUUCAAUAUCGCCUUGCACACGCUUGCCUGCAUCUAGCUGAUCUAGGGUGUAGUCAUUAGU